This 2885-nucleotide long non-coding RNA is filed under the name Carassius auratus (goldfish). RNAcentral describes it as "lncRNA (ENSCARG00000051896.1)". The record is from RNAcentral. Lineage: Eukaryota; Metazoa; Chordata; Actinopteri; Cypriniformes; Cyprinidae.
GGCCUAUUAAUAAUUCUAAAUAUGUAUUAAAUUAAAUUAAAAGUUUUUAUGAAUGAUACUUACAUCUUAUUCUAUGUAUAUACACGCACACACACAUUUAUUUAUUUAUUUAUAACACAACUAUUAUAAGGCAAAAACAACAACAAAGGUAUUUCAAUCUCCAUCGUGACAGCUCUAUCCAGAAGCUGUGGAAGUACGAUUCAUUCCCAGCCUACACGUCCCACAGUGCACCGGGCGUCCCCCCUCCCUCCUCCCCAACAGCGCUUUCCCUCUUCUCCUCUUCUCGCAGCCUGAGUUUCUGUCUAUCGGUGUUGUUGUUGAAGCGAUGAUGGCGGCAGCGGGAUGCGGAUCAGCAACCGCGGCUGCCGUCGUGGGCGCGGCGCGGGGACGCUUCCCCGGUCGGCCUUGGUCGUCGCGGAGCCGUUUGCGUUCGGAGAAGCGAUGGCAGCUCGGCCGCUCUGGGACGGAUCUUGACGAGAUCUCCUCCAACGGAGGCCCGAGGCCCACCUGCCUGGUGCUCGCGCUGAACGAGGACCAGUCUCACUUGUGCCUUCUCGGGCUUGAGGCGAGCUACAAGAGCCUGGUAGAGGCUGGAUACAGCUCGAGUGGGAGCGAAGAGGGAGCUGAAUUCAAAGGCUUUGAAGUUGAAGAUGAAAAUAGCAGUGCCCCGGUUCAUGCUGGACGAAAUGCAUGUAAACGUAAGUGUGGCUUCAGAUGCAAAUUAUCCUGAGAAUCUCCAAAAUUCAUUUGUUUCAUUGUGUUUGUACAGCUUUUUAUCUAAAAAUCCCAUCCCAUACAAUUAAAAAGGAAAAAAAAGUAAUUUUUCAUCUACUAUACAACCAGUGUUAAUUUUGACAGGGAUUUUUGAUUUAGUCUUUAUUUUGAUGAAAAUACUUAAUAAUCUUAGUCACAUUUUAGUCAUAUGUUUCUUUUAUAUAGUUUUAGUCAACGAAAAGUCAUUGUAUUUUUGUCAACGUUUAGUCAUUACUUUGUCAAACUGCAGUUACCAACAUUUGGUUUGGUAGUUAUUUUCUGUGUACUCUAUGAUAAAUUUUAAUCAAGGAUUGAAUUUGGAAAAAACUUGAAUAAAUAAUGACGGUUUUAAUUUGUGGGUGGACUAUCCCUUCAAUAGUAGUGAGAAGGGAGCAACUUAAAAAAUAUAUAGUUGUUCAUGUAUAUUUAAUAAUUAAUCAUCUUUAAAAAAAAAGAAGCAUAAUAAGAUAAUACGACAAAUAAAAAAAAGAGAUACAAAUUAAAUUCAUUUUUUUUAGAUACAUUAGGUUUACUUAAAAUAUUUAUUUAAUAUUUGUUGGUUAACAUUAGGGCUGUGCGAUUAAUCAUAAUUGAAAUAAAAUCGCGAUUUGAGUGUGCGCGAUUUCUAAAUCGCUUUAAAGCACGAUUUUCCGUGGCCCCUGCCUCCCGCAGUAUGUUAAUUGAACCAAUAAGGAUGCAGCACGCCUAAGUGGAGCGCGAGAACAGAGCAGGCUGGGCAUAUGCCUAACUUCAGGUUCACACAAUGUCUGUAAUAGUCUGUGUAGCCUUUUUUUUUUUUUAACUGAUCAGAACGUUCACACUGCACGCAGUAAAAAGAUGAGAACAGAAAAGGUUAUAAAUAGAAAGGUGCGAAAAGAUUUCAUAUGAUCUGAGCAUGCGCAUCUGGUUAUGUUAACAGAGCAAAGAAAAUCUGCGUCCGAGUGGAUAGAUUCGCACUCGUGCAUGAUUUUAAUGUGCUUUCGCCUUACAAUAAUGUGCUCUCGUUGCUGCUUCUGAACCAUGUACACAUAACUUACUGUAUACGCACUGCAGACGGAGUACGUGUGAACUUUGGGCAAUAAAUAUAUUGGUCAAAACAUAUAACACCUAAGGCACCGCUACAGUUAGCUCGAUGACCAAUGCAUGGCAAAAAAUAAAAAAAUAAAUAAAUCCCUGAACACGGGUUUUAUUUUAUUUUUGUAUUAUUAUUUUUUGCCAUAUGUCUAGACAUUUUGUUUGACAUCUUUACUUAGUGAUUAUUUUGACUUAUGUCUGUUCUAGAGACAUGCUACAACUUUCUGAUAAUGCUCUCAUUGGUUUUCUUUUGGAAAUAUGUUUCAAAUUUAUACUGAAUGCAUUUAUGACUGUAAAGCAUGUCUGUGUGUGUCAAAAUCGUGAUUAAAAUCGAAAACGCAAAAUUGAUAAAAAAAUCGUGAUAUUUUUUUUUUUGUCCAUAUCACACAGCCCUGGUUAACAUUAAUGACACAGAUAGGUAGGCUACUUAAAUAGGAAUGCUGUCCCUUUAAGACUGCAUGCAUGUAAUACUGACACACGUUUACUUUUUCACCCACCUGUUCACCUUCACUUAAUCCAUUGCUGUGUUUAUGUGAGAUAUUCUACACAAUAGACAUGUACACUGCCGUGUGUGUAUUUGAGCGCUGAGAACUGAUUGUGCACUGUAUAUGAGAACUGAAGAAGUGGAGCAUGGGCGAGAGAGAGCACCACCAUCAGCAGGAUUCUGCCUAUCCCGCCGGUGACUCCUGGGGGAAAACUAGAUGUCUGGUCACCUCAUCCAUAACUUUUCGGGUGCUAAGGCCAUUUUUCAGAUCGCCAGUUCACGUUUUGGUAGUUUAUCCAUCCACUGCGGCUUCUAUAAUGAGACUAGAUAUGCAAACGCCCUUUAUCUGAUUGCAAUGAAAUGACAGGGAUACACAUUUUUAAGGACAAGACAGUAGCCUAUGGGAUGUAUUUUGAAUGUCCGGGAGUCCUCAAAUAACAUUAUAGUCCCAUCUCGUCGUGUUAACGAAGGCCCGGCAUAUAUUUCGUCAUAGUUUUUAUCAUCAGAUAUUAGUUUUAGCUCGUCAGCAUCUCGGGUUUUUUCUCGGUCACAGAAAAAAAAUUUAGUUACCGAA